UGGACAAAUUAUUGUAUUCGACUGUAUUCACGGCGUGAAACAGGGGAUUACACUGUUUUAAAAUGGAAAGUGAAUCAAUUAACAUAAUAAACUCCU
Nicotiana sylvestris (wood tobacco) is the source of this 96-nucleotide non-coding RNA. The record is from Rfam. Lineage: Eukaryota; Viridiplantae; Streptophyta; Magnoliopsida; Solanales; Solanaceae.